UUUCCCUCUGCACAGGUUUUGAUAAACCUCCCCCUCUGUACUGACAACUUUAAGAGAAUGGUUCUCCAACCCCACCCUCCAUCCAUGCAACACCAUAUCCAAUGUAUGAAAAACCUCUUCUUGCUGGUCAGACAUGAGAUCCUAAAAAACAAAGAACAGCUAAACACAUGUGGAAUCUAUUCCUCACCAGCUUUACCUCCUCAGAUUGGCUGCUGUGUAUAAACACAAGUCUAUCAAGGCUCACCCGGAAGUCAGUGAAUGAAGAGAUAAUUUCCAUUACAUCCAGUACAGAAUAAACCACCAGUAAGAAAAAGAACUUGGGAUGAGGAGAUGUCUGCCACCUCUGGGGCAUCUUGAGAAAGAUUACAGGUGAAUGGAAUUCCCACUAGCAAGACAUACUGCCAAAAGAUAAGAAUCAUAAGAAAACACUCUUUAAGAUGGUUGUAUAAUGUCUGAAAACCAGAUGUUACACAGUCUCUAUCAAUUUCACAAUUGAAACAAAAGAAUAUACUAGUUCUGAAUACAAUCGGGUAGAGUCAAAUUUGUCAUGACAAAGUGGUACAAUUGCUGACCAUAAAUGGUAAUUUAAAUGCAACUA
Molecule: long non-coding RNA, 598 nt
Organism: Hyla sarda
Lineage: Eukaryota; Metazoa; Chordata; Amphibia; Anura; Hylidae
Exons: 3
Source: RefSeq, a predicted model, not a curated record